UUACUGGAGAGUUUGAUCCUGGCUCAGAGCGAACGCUGGCGGCGUGCCUAACACAUGCAAGUCGAGCGAGAAAGGGGUGGCAACACCCUGAGUAAAGCGGCGGACGGGUGAGUAACGCGUGGGUAAUCUACCCUCUAGUCUGGGAUAACCUUCCGAAAGGGGGGCUAAUACCGGAUCAUGUCCCUUUGGGGCAUCACAAGGGGAGCAAAGGGGGCGCCCGCAAGGGGCUCUCGCUGGAGGAGGAGCCUGCGUCCGAUUAGCUAGUUGGUGGGGUAAUGGCCCACCAAGGCGACGAUCGGUAGCCGGCCUGAGAGGGCGAUCGGCCACACUGGGACUGAGAUACGGCCCAGACUCCUACGGGAGGCAGCAGUGGGGAAUCUUGCGCAAUGGGCGAAAGCCUGACGCAGCGACGCCGCGUGGGG
This 422-nucleotide ribosomal RNA is filed under the name Candidatus Methylomirabilota bacterium. Its description in RNAcentral is "bacterial SSU rRNA". It matches the Rfam family "Bacterial small subunit ribosomal RNA", at positions 1 to 406 of the family's 1533-position model. Lineage: Bacteria; Methylomirabilota (SeqCode). The record is from RNAcentral.